Molecule: ribosomal RNA, 435 nt
Filed under: Clostridioides difficile
Lineage: Bacteria; Bacillati; Bacillota; Clostridia; Peptostreptococcales; Peptostreptococcaceae
Description: partial 23S ribosomal RNA
Rfam family: Bacterial large subunit ribosomal RNA
Source: RNAcentral
UCCCCCAAGAGUCCACAUCGACGGGGAGGUUUGGCACCUCGAUGUCGGCUCAUCACAUCCUGGGGCUGUAGUAGGUCCCAAGGGUUGGGCUGUUCGCCCAUUAAAGUGGUACGCGAGCUGGGUUCAGAACGUCGUGAGACAGUUCGGUCCCUAUCCGUCGCAGGCGUAGGAAAUUUGAGAAGACCUGUCCUUAGUACGAGAGGACCGGGAUGGACGUACCUCUGGUGUACCAGUUGUCCUGCCAAGGGCAUGGCUGGGUAGCUAUGUACGGAAUGGAUAAGCGCUGAAAGCAUCUAAGCGCGAAGCCAACUUCAAGAUAAGAUUUCCCACCGCAAGGGUAAGACCCCAGAAAGACUAUCUGGUUGAUAGGUCGAAGGUGUAAGUGCAGCAAUGUAUUUAGCUUAUCGAUACUAAUAGGUCGAGGACUUGACCAAU